This is a long non-coding RNA of Acanthopagrus latus (yellowfin seabream), 947 nucleotides long. RefSeq lists it as uncharacterized. The transcript is spliced from 3 exons. The record is from RefSeq and is a predicted model, not a curated record. NCBI's taxonomy places the organism in Eukaryota, Metazoa, Chordata, Actinopteri, Spariformes, Sparidae.
AGCUGCAACGAGCAAACACAAACAAGCUUUUUUGAGACAGACGUGUUUUUCUUCUGCUGACAAUUUGUGAAGCCACAGAGGAAAAUGCAAUGGGAGUUGGGUAGUGGCAUGAAUACAAGACGCACUCGCAUCAGGUUUUUCACUUGGGCGUCUUGGCAUGAAAGAUGCACUUUGAGAUCGGCACGUCGUACCUGACACGAAUGUCAAAUCAAUUUGAACAUCAAGUUUUUGUAUAAAGAAUGGGAAUCUAUUGGGCACAAACCACCUUCACUUAGCAGCUGGACCAGGAAACAACACUUGCUUGACAAUUUCAAGCACUUUGGUACAGCUGCAGACGAACUUCUAACUGAAGAGGAGGAUAUUGUUACCACAUCUGUUCAAGUGCUCUGGUGGGAUGAGCUGAUGGUGUCACAUUACGACAGGAGCUGAGUCUUGUUAGCCUGAAAUAACCGGGGACGUUGCCAAGAUGGCUGCCAAGUGGUGGGACGCUGACGUCAGGCACACAACUCGUCUGUCUAGGUUUUGAUUUUUCUACAUUUUUAAGCAUUGUGAGUUACUUCCAAGGGAAAGGGGCAAAUCCCUCAACCACAGCCAAGGUAAUUGGAGAAAACGUUAGCAUUAUGUAUAUUGGCUAGUAAUUAUCCUAAAAGCCUUCUCUUUCUUUCGUUUAACAUUAAAAGUUUAAAUGUUUAGCAUGAAAAUACAAACAAGUAGGUUAUAUGUUAGCUAACAAUGCUAUUUAUCUAGCUACAUGUAUUUAAUUCAACUAAAGAAGAUGCUAACUUUUGGUGUGGGACAUGUAGCUUUAGCCCUGUAGCCAUCUUAUUUCAGAGGGCUCUGUUGCUGUGUGUUGAGCUGGAAGCCAGUCAUAAGCAUAGGUUAGUGGAGGCCAUUUCUAAACUAAUGUUAGCGACUGCUGCUUUUUGUUAGCAGAGUCGAGAGAGCCA